UACAGAGGGUGCGAGCGUUAUUCGGAUUCACUGGGCGUAAAGGGUGCGCAGGCGGCCGUGUGUGUGAGGCGUGAAAGCCCGGGGCUUAACCCCGGAAUUGCACCUCAAACUACACGGCUAGAGCAUUGGAGAGGGUAGCGGAAUUCACGGUGUAGCAGUGAAAUGCGUAGAUAUCGUGAGGAACACCAGAGGCGAAGGCGGCUACCUGGACAAUUGCUGACGCUCAGGCACGAAAGCGUGGGGAGCGAACAGG
Molecule: ribosomal RNA, 253 nt
Filed under: uncultured bacterium
Lineage: Bacteria
Description: partial 16S ribosomal RNA
Rfam family: Bacterial small subunit ribosomal RNA
Source: RNAcentral